UGAUUAUUACGUGCUUAACUCUUUGUAAAAUGCCUUGAUUAGACCCGAAUCUCUGGCCUAAAAUUCUUCCGCUGAGAGUCGAAACGAAGAGAAGAUAGUGCACGGCAUCAUGUUUUCGUCUUCAGCUUCCACUUUCUUCUUCUCAUCAACAAAGCCAAUGGAAGUUGUGGGUUUUGCCCAUUCUUCCCACCCACUUUCUCUCUUCAACUUCACACCAACAACCUUCACCUCCAACACUACAUUCAUUUCCCUAAAGAAACAGGCGCCCAUUAAGCCUUUCCAAGUGAGAGCUGUAGCUGCUCCUGCAGAAGCCACUGCUGGAUUUGAUGAAAUGGUUUCUGGGACCCAGCGUAAGUAUUACAUGCUAGGUGGUAAAGGAGGAGUUGGGAAGACAAGUUGUGCUGCUUCACUUGCUGUAAAAUUUGCAAAUAACGGUCAUCCCACUUUAGUAGUUUCAACUGAUCCAGCACAUUCCUUAAGUGAUUCUUUUGCUCAGGAUUUGACUGGCGGGACACUAGUUCCAGUUGAAGGCCCGUAUUCUCCAUUAUUCGCCCUUGAGUUAAAUCCUGAAAAGGCCAAGGAAGAGUUUCGAAGUGCAACCGAGAUGAGUGGAGGAUCUGGCAUCAAAGACUUUAUGGACGGUAUGGGCCUUGGGGUGCUUGCUGAACAGCUUGGGGAACUAAAGCUUGGAGAACUGCUGGAUACACCCCCUCCUGGUCUAGAUGAAGCCAUUGCAAUUUCAAAGGUUAUGCAAUUCCUUGAGUCGCAGGAAUAUAAUAUGUUUACUCGUGUAGUGUUUGACACAGCCCCGACGGGACAUACUCUACGGCUCUUGUCCUUGCCAGACUUCUUGGAUAAAUCAAUUGGAAAGAUAUUGAAGUUGAGACAGAAGAUAGCUUCUGCCACUUCAGCAAUAAAGUCUGUCUUUGGCCAAGAAGGAACGCCCAAGCCAGAUGCUUCAGAUAAAUUGGAGCGGUUAAGGGAGAGGAUGAUAAAAGUAAGAGAGCUUUUUCGUGACACAACCUCAAUGGAAUUUAUCAUAGUAACAAUCCCCACGGUUAUGGCAAUUAGUGAAUCAUCAAGGUUGUGUGCUUCCUUAAAGAAGGAAGAUGUUCCUGUCAAGAGGCUUAUUGCUAACCAGAUUCUUCCGCCAUCAGCCUCAGAUUGCAAGUUCUGCGCAAUGAAAAGAAAGGACCAAAGUCGGGCUCUGGAUAUGAUCCAGAAUGACCCAGAGCUCUCUAGUCUGAUGUUGGUCCAGGCACCCCUUGUUGAUGUAGAGAUUAGAGGUGUUCCAGCUCUUCAGUUUUUAGGGGACAUUGUCUGGAAAUGAAGAAAAGAACUUGAUACGCUGCAUCAGCUAAUCAGGUCUGGAUCUUAAUUAUUCAGCUCCAGCCCAUUAGACGUUGCCAGUGGCAUUUGUCAACAAACUGCAUUCAUGGACUAUGAGCGCCUAUCGGCUUUUGAUGCUCUUGCUCUAACUAGUGAAAACAAAUACAUGCGAUACGCGUGUUUGUUGCUGAGGUACAGGUUAAUACUAUCUCGUCUACACUGAUACCAAGAAAAUACAGUGGGAGUUGCAUUGGAUGA
Molecule: RNA transcript, 1587 nt
Organism: Lycium ferocissimum
Lineage: Eukaryota; Viridiplantae; Streptophyta; Magnoliopsida; Solanales; Solanaceae
Gene name: ATPase GET3B-like
Exons: 13
Source: RefSeq, a predicted model, not a curated record